GCUUCCUUUCUGUAUUGGAGUUAAUGGAGCAAAUCUGACUUCCUGAGACAGUACCUCCAGAACUCAAGAAGGUGGAACUUCAUUUCUGCCUAUUUUGGCAAAAUACCCCAUGUGGAAUACUCGAAUAACAAAGCAAAGAUCUCUUCAGGAAGAUACAAUAAUAAUCACAUGAUUCAAUAAAAACUGAGAAGAUUCCUGGUU
RNAcentral lists this long non-coding RNA (201 nucleotides) under Homo sapiens (human). RNAcentral describes it as "HSALNT0142022". The record is from RNAcentral. Lineage: Eukaryota; Metazoa; Chordata; Mammalia; Primates; Hominidae.